GGAGAGAUGGCCGAGCGGUUUAAGGCGCACGACUGGAAAUCGUGUUGGGGUGGAAGCCCCUCGGGGGUUCGAAUCCCCCUCUCUCCGCCA
Molecule: transfer RNA, 90 nt
Filed under: Alphaproteobacteria bacterium
Lineage: Bacteria; Pseudomonadati; Pseudomonadota; Alphaproteobacteria
Also listed under: 1 other name
Description: tRNA-Ser
Rfam family: tRNA
About the family: Transfer RNA (tRNA) molecules are approximately 80 nucleotides in length. Their secondary structure includes four short double-helical elements and three loops (D, anti-codon, and T loops).
Source: RNAcentral